This 2746-nucleotide long non-coding RNA is filed under the name Citrus x clementina. RNAcentral describes it as "Citrus clementina (C. clementina) long non-coding RNA (CCLE_LNC004457)". The record is from RNAcentral. Lineage: Eukaryota; Viridiplantae; Streptophyta; Magnoliopsida; Sapindales; Rutaceae.
CGUAUUGCCUCUAGAAGUUCAAGGGGUUGAAUUCUCAAAUUGCGAGAAUUUUAAACAUUUUUUUGUUAAUUUAAUCUAUAUUUAGUGGAUUAAUUUAUUUUUAAUUUGAUUAGGCUGAUAUAAUACAAUGAAUUUUUAAUUAAUUAAAUGUAUGUUCAUUGAAUUGUGUAUGCACUCUAUAGCUAGAUUCUUAAUUUAUAGAGAUUUUAAUGUAUAUAGUUGUUAAGACCGCGUGUGAUAGUUGUUAACACCGCGUGUGAUACAACCUUUAAUCAAGUUGGAACUAUCUUGGCUUGUUCCUGCGAUCUACUUCAAAUAAAUGCAUGUGAUUAAAUUAACAUAUGUUGCUAUUCAAUCAAAGUUUUAACUAUAAUAAAGCAAACUUUGCAUAUGGAUUUAUUGAAAAAUUAAACUUUACUUUAGCAAAAUCUUGACAAAUGAAGCAUGAAUUUCCAAUUGUGAAUUUGCAACCAAUUUCAUUCCAUGACACAUCUAACGCUAUGUCAACAAUUUUGGCUAUCCAUCUUCGCUUCAGUCGGCCGCCAUUUUGAAAUUGACCAUAAAUGUUCCCUUUUAAUUUUUUGAACAACACCUGUCACUAUCAUAAUUCACGAGUGAGCAUAUAACUUUAAAAAUUCACAAAAGCUAACAGCUACAUCCCAAUCAAAAGGAAAGUCCAAAAGACUAAGAACAUGUCAAUAAACUCUCAUUGUCAUGAAGCUUCCUCUCUAAUUUGUCUCAUUUACAUACUUGUUUAAUAAUUAAGAUAAUUAAGACCUUUCUCCUGAUAAACAAACUAAUUACAUUUCACUAACGUGUAUAUAAAGAGCAUGGCUUAAAGAGUUCAUAACAUCAUUACUUAAAAAUGAAUGCCAAUUCAGUUUUUCUCAUUUUCUUCUUGAUUCAUGGGCUGCUUCUUUCACAUAAUACUUACAUGAUCAAAGCCACUGGAAUUGUUUCCAAGUCGUCUUUGAAUGAAAUAUCUUCACAAGUUAUUAAUUUUCAUAAGUUGAAGAUGGUGUCACAUAGGUCGCUAAGAGUACGAAAUAUACGACCAUCUCCACCGAUGAAAAAUAAUCCUCCUCACUGGUAUCGUACUCCUCCGCCAGCAAAGCGAUCACCACCACCACGACGGCGAUCACCACCACCACGACGGCCACCGGCACCGCCUCCACCACUGAAUUCAUAUUAGUAUCUCCAACUCUAUAACCAUAAGACAUUAGCAUGCAAAUUGCUUCGAUGGUUUGUCUUCCGAUAUUUUUUUUAAUUAUGUAUGAUGUGUAAAUUUUCGUUAUAAUGAAAUAUUGUAAAUUACUGCCUGAAAUAUCUAUUAUUACGAGGCCAACUCUCUUUAAAGAUCUUGGGGGUUCUCCUAGUUAUAUAGAUUCUUGUAUUUUGUUUAUGUCUUGGCUUUGGUUAUUUGCCUUCCGUAUCUUCAGCACUACAUAAGUUUUUCCGAGGAGAUUGUGCUCUCUCUUUUCCUUUUUUGCCGCCUCUUUAGUUUUUUUCUCUAUAAAUUUCCAAGCCUAGUAUUAAAAAAAGGGGUAAGAUGUGCCUGACUACUUGAUUGAAAUAAAUGAUUUUUCUAAAUUUAUUUGCAGAACAAAAUUGAAACUAUGGUUAGAAGCUAUAAUAAAGUCAUAAUGAUCAGCAUAUCAAAAUUAAUGUAAAGCUUGUAAUAUAUUCCAAUAGUUGACCAAUUAGAAGACUUAAGAAAAGUCACAUAUCGUAGAUCUACAUCUACUUGAAGUAUUUUGCAACUAAUAUGAUUGUCUAGCAAGUGAAUGAUCAAGGGAGACGAUCGUGGGUAAUUCUACUGUUUUUUUUUUUUUUUGUGCGGAUCAUCAACAAGUUGUUAAUGGAAAUCUUGGGCCUACAUUUUUAAUUAAUGGAAAACUAUCAAUCGUAUACCCUUAGUUUAUUCCGUUAACAAAUUUACUACAACACUUUCAGGGUAUAUCAGUGGUCCACCCUAAGUUAGACAAAAUAUAUUUGUUGUCCACCAAACCGUUAGCUGCCGUUUAAAUAUGAUGACAUCAUAGGGUAAUUUGGUCUUUUCAUAUGAUACAAGUGAUAAUUUUAAGGUCUGUAAGUGAUAACUUUCAAGGGUAAAAUCAUUAAUUCGUUAUAGUUCCGUUAACUUUCAAACGGCAGCUAACAGUUUAGUGGUCGGCAUAUAACUUUUGUUAAUUUAGGGUGGACGAUUGAUACACCCUUAAAGUGUUGUAGUAUUUUUUACAAAAACGUAAAUUUAGGGUAUAUAAAUAAUAAUUUCCCUUAAUUAAUUAUACAAAUGAUAAUUUCCCUUAAUUAAUUAAUAUAUACUUUAGUAAGUAGCUUUUUGCUCAUAAUAAAAUGAUACACCAAGGUGAAGCUAAAUGACUUUAACAGCCAUCUUUAAUGCUGCUUACAGUUCGUUUGAUAUAGCUCUCAAAUAAUUGUUGCUUACGGUUAAGAUAGUUUUAUCCUCAUAAUUUUUUGUUGAAAGUUAUAUAAUGCUGAAAAUGAGGAGAUCAUACCCGAAAUGAUUUCGGGAGGUGAUUUUAUCUCUUGCAAUUGCUUAUGGUUAAGGUGAUUUUAUCCUCAUAAUUUUUUGUUGAAAGUUACGCAAAUAUUGUUAUCAUGUUGAGUAUUAAAUUGUAUGGGGGUAUGUUUGAGAACUUAAAUUUAUAUGACUCAUUUAGACUUUAGACUAUAAAAUAAAGUUUUUUUUUUUUUGGUUAAGAUGAAAUGUAAAUAAAUAGUA